ACGAACGCUGGCGGCGUGCUUAACACACGCACGUCGAACGGAAAGGCCCUGCUUUUGUGGGGUGCUCGAGUGGCGAACGGGUGAGUAACACGUGAGUAACCUGCCCUUGACUUUGGGAUAACUUCAGGAAACUGGGGCUAAUACCGGAUAGGAGCUCCUGCUGCAUGGUGGGGGUUGGAAAGUUUCGGCGGUUGGGGAUGGACUCGCGGCUUAUCAGCUUGUUGGUGGGGUAGUGGCUUACCAAGGCUUUGACGGGUAGCCGGCCUGAGAGGGUGACCGGCCACAUUGGGACUGAGAUACGGCCCAGACUCCUACGGGAGGCAGCAGUGGGGAAUAUUGCACAAUGGGCGGAAGCCUGAUGCAGCAACGCCGCGUGCGGGAUGACGGCCUUCGGGUUGUAAACCGCUUUCGCCUGUGACGAAGCGUGAGUGACGGUAAUGGGUAAAGAAGCACCGGCUAACUACGUG
This 467-nucleotide ribosomal RNA is filed under the name uncultured bacterium. RNAcentral describes it as "partial 16S ribosomal RNA". It matches the Rfam family "Bacterial small subunit ribosomal RNA", at positions 29 to 507 of the family's 1533-position model. The record is from RNAcentral.